RNAcentral lists this ribosomal RNA (480 nucleotides) under uncultured bacterium. RNAcentral's name for it is "partial 16S ribosomal RNA". It matches the Rfam family "Bacterial small subunit ribosomal RNA", at positions 28 to 507 of the family's 1533-position model. The record is from RNAcentral.
GACGAACGCUGGCGGCGUGCUUAACACAUGCAAGUCGAACGAUGAAGAAAAGAAUUGAAGCUUCGGCAGAAAUUCAUUUCGGAUUAGUGGCAGACGGGUGAGUAACGCGUGAGCAACCUACCUCUUACAAAGGGAUAGCCUCGGGAAACCGGGAUUAAUACCAUAUAACAUUGCGACGAAGCAUUUCGAUGCAAUCAAAGCUACGGCGGUAAGAGAUGGGCUCGCGUCCCAUUAACCAGAUGGUGAGGUAACGGCUCACCAUAGUAACGAUGGGUAACCGGGCUGAGAGGGUGAACGGUCACACUGGAACUGAGACACGGUCCAGACUCCUACGGGAGGCAGCAGUGGGGAAUAUUGCACAAUGGAGGGAACUCUGAUGCAGCGACGCCGCGUGAGUGAUGAAGGAAUUCGUUUCGUAAAACUCUGUUCUAUGGGAAGAAAAGGACUGUACCAUAGGAGAAAGCUCCGGCUAAAUACGUG